AUCAAGUCAAUAACCCGAGAAAA
Molecule: small nuclear RNA, 23 nt
Filed under: Arabidopsis thaliana (thale cress)
Lineage: Eukaryota; Viridiplantae; Streptophyta; Magnoliopsida; Brassicales; Brassicaceae
Description: snRNA_16636
Source: RNAcentral